Molecule: ribosomal RNA, 253 nt
Filed under: uncultured bacterium
Lineage: Bacteria
Description: partial 16S ribosomal RNA
Rfam family: Bacterial small subunit ribosomal RNA
Source: RNAcentral
GACAGAGGGUGCGAACGUUGUUCGGAAUUACUGGGCGUAAAGCGCGUGUAGGCGGCUCGAUAAGUCGGAUGUGAAAGCCCUGGGCUCAACCUAGGAAGUGCAUUCGAAACUGCUGAGCUUGAGUUCUGGAGAGGAAGGCGGAAUUCUCGGUGUAGAGGUGAAAUUCGUAGAUAUCGAGAGGAACACCGGUGGCGAAGGCGACCUUCUGGACAGCAACUGACGCUGAGACGCGAAAGCGUGGGGAGCAAACAGG